CCAAUAGCGUAUAUUAAAGUUGUUGCAGUUAAAAAGCUCGUAGUUGAAUUUCGGGAUCAGUAGGUCGGUCAUGCCUCUGGUAUGUACUGGCCUCACUGGUUCCUCCUUCCUGAUGAACCGUAAUGCCAUUAAUUUGGUGUUGCGGGGAAACUGGACUGUUACUUUGAAAAAAUUAGAGUGUUUAAAGCAGGCUAACGCUUGAAUACAUUAGCAUGGAAUAAUGAAAUAGGACGAUCGAUCCUAUUUUGUUGGUUUCUAGGAUUGACGUAAUGAUUAAUAGGGAUAGUUGGGGGCAUUAGUAUUCAAUUGUCAGAGGUGAAAUUCUUGGAUUUAUUGAAGACUAACUACUGCGAAAGCAUUUGCCAAGGAUGUUUUCAUUAAUCAAGAACGAAAGUUAGGGGAUCGGAGACGAUCAGAUACCGUCGUAGUCUUAACCAUAAACUAUGCCGACUAGGGAUCGGAUGAUGUUAAUUUUAUAAUGACUCAUUCGGCGCCUUACG
Molecule: ribosomal RNA, 500 nt
Filed under: uncultured Glomeromycotina
Lineage: Eukaryota; Fungi; Glomeromycota
Description: partial small subunit ribosomal RNA
Rfam family: Eukaryotic small subunit ribosomal RNA
Source: RNAcentral